CGGGCUAUGGGCUUCCCCCACCUACACGCGGUUCUGUUCCUACAAGGCUCUUCAACACAGUUGACACUGCUGAGAAACGGAGUGACAGCAGGAUGGCAAUGUUAAAGUGCAGGAACAGCGGGGUGCCAUGUCCUCCACUGACCUGGGAGCUUCCUGCGCAGAGUGUGUUCCCUCAACCACUGGGACUGAGACUGGAACCAUGUGACUGGCUAUUUGGGAUUCAGCCACCUUCACCACCACACCAUUGGCUGGCCCCAAGAAGCUCCUGACUAAAACCACUGUAACUCUUCUUUGAGGUUCAGGCUAGAGGGCAAUGGCUGGUAAAGAAUGGCAGAGAGUAAACUGGGAAUGGAACAAACUUUGUAGAUGCAACCAUGGAAAUAAGAGUUUGGGUGCUUCUGUUGAUCCAAUUUUACAGGGUUUCAUAUUGGAGGUGUUUGUGGCAGUAGCCUUGCAGAAGGCAGCCAGGACUGCCACUUACUGAGAAACCUGCACUCUGACUCUGUUGGAGAUUGCAUCUCCCUGAGCUGCUUCAGCGUCAGCCAGUCACUCUGACAGAGGAAGUGUAGUCCUCCACAUCACAGGUGGGCUCCAGGUAACACUCUACCAG
Tupaia belangeri chinensis (Chinese tree shrew) is the source of this 610-nucleotide long non-coding RNA. RefSeq lists it as uncharacterized. The record is from RefSeq and is a predicted model, not a curated record. The transcript is spliced from 3 exons. Lineage: Eukaryota; Metazoa; Chordata; Mammalia; Scandentia; Tupaiidae.